CAGCAGCCACGGUAAUACGGAGGGGGCUAGCGUUGUUCGGAAUUACUGGGCGUAAAGCGCACGUAGGCGGCUUUGUAAGUUAGAGGUGAAAGCCUGGAGCUCAACUCCAGAAUUGCCUUUAAGACUGCAUCGCUUGAAUCGCGGAGAGGUGAGUGGAAUUCCGAGUGUAGAGGUGAAAUUCGUAGAUAUUCGGAAGAACACCAGUGGCGAAGGCGGCUCACUGGACGCGUAUUGACGCUGAGGUGCGAAAGCGUGGGGAGCAAACAGGAUUAGAUACCCGGGUAGUCCCUGUCUCUUAUAC
This 301-nucleotide ribosomal RNA is filed under the name uncultured bacterium. Its description in RNAcentral is "partial 16S ribosomal RNA". It matches the Rfam family "Bacterial small subunit ribosomal RNA", at positions 509 to 807 of the family's 1533-position model. The record is from RNAcentral.